RNAcentral lists this ribosomal RNA (449 nucleotides) under uncultured bacterium. Its description in RNAcentral is "bacterial SSU rRNA". It matches the Rfam family "Bacterial small subunit ribosomal RNA", at positions 355 to 796 of the family's 1533-position model. The record is from RNAcentral.
UCGAGAAUCAUUCGCAAUGGGCGCAAGCCUGACGAUGCGACGCCGUGUGAGCGAUGAAGGCCUUAGGGUUGUAAAGCUCUUUCGCCUGGGAACAAGAGAAGCGAAUUAAUACUUCGCCAAUUUGAGGGUACCAGGAAAAGAAGCACCGGCUAACUCCGUGCCAGCAGCUGCGGUAAUACGGAGGGUGCAAGCAUUAAUCGGAUUUAUUGGGCGUAAAGGGCGCGUAGGCGGAUCGGAAAGUCAGAUGUGAAAUCCUGGGGCUCAACCCCAGAACUGCAUUUGAAACUCCCAAUCUAGAGGGUAGGCGGAGAAAAUGGAAUUCCACAAGUAGCGGUGAAAUGCGUAGAUAUGUGGAAGAACACCGGUGGCGAAGGCGGUUUUCUAGCUUACUCCUGACGCUGAGGCGCGAAAGUAAGGGGAUCAAACAGGAUUAGAUACCCGCGUAGUCC